AGGCAGUGUAGUUAGCUGAUUGG
RNAcentral lists this non-coding RNA (23 nucleotides) under Eptatretus burgeri (inshore hagfish). RNAcentral also lists the same sequence under 4 other names. Lineage: Eukaryota; Metazoa; Chordata; Myxini; Myxiniformes; Myxinidae. The record is from RNAcentral.